Molecule: ribosomal RNA, 1109 nt
Filed under: uncultured bacterium
Lineage: Bacteria
Description: bacterial SSU rRNA
Rfam family: Bacterial small subunit ribosomal RNA
Source: RNAcentral
ACAAUGGGCGCAAGCCUGAUCCAGCCAUGCCGCGUGUGUGAAGAAGGCCUUCGGGUUGUAAAGCACUUUCAGUAGGGAGGAAGCGUUGAGUGUUAAUAGUACUCAGCGUUGACGUUACCUACAGAAGAAGCACCGGCUAACUCUGUGCCAGCAGCCGCGGUAAUACAGAGGGUGCAAGCGUUAAUCGGAAUUACUGGGCGUAAAGCGCACGUAGGCGGUUUUUUAAGUCAGAUGUGAAAGCCCCGGGCUCAACCUGGGAAUUGCAUUUGAAACUGGGAAACUAGAGUGUGUGAGAGGGGGGUAGAAUUCCAAGUGUAGCGGUGAAAUGCGUAGAGAUUUGGAGGAAUACCAGUGGCGAAGGCGGCCCCCUGGCACAACACUGACGCUCAGGUGCGAAAGCGUGGGGAGCAAACAGGAUUAGAUACCCUGGUAGUCCACGCCGUAAACGAUGUCUACUAGCUGUUCGUGACCUUGUGUCGUGAGUAGCGCAGCUAACGCAUUAAGUAGACCGCCUGGGGAGUUACGGUCGCAAGAUUAAAACUCAUAUGACAUUUGACGGGGGCCCGCACAAGCGGUGGAGCAUGUGGUUUAAUUUGACGCAACGCGAAGAACCUUACAUACUCUUGACAUCCAGAGAACGACUGCAGAGAUGCGGUUGUGCCUUCGGGAACUCUGAGACAGGUGCUGCAUGGCUGUCGUCAGCUCGUGUUGUGAAAUGUUGGGUUAAGUCCCGCACACGAGCGCAACCCUUAUCCUUAGUUGCCAGCGAUUCGGUCGGGAACUCUAGGGAGACUGCCGGUGAUAAACCGGAGGAAGGUGGGGACGACGUCAAGUCAUCAUGGCCCUUACGAGUAGGGCUACACACGUGCUACAAUGGUAUGUACAGAGGGAGGCAAGCUGGCGACAGUGAGCGGAUCUCUUAAAGCAUAUCGUAGUCCGGAUCGCAGUCUGCAACUCGACUGCGUGAAGUCGGAAUCGCUAGUAAUCGCAAAUCAGAAUGUUGCGGUGAAUACGUUCCCGGGCCUUGUACACACCGCCCGUCACACCAUGGGAGUGGGUUGCAAAAGAAGUAGGUAGCUUAACCUUCGGGAGGGCGCUUACCACUUUGU